This is a non-coding RNA of Sus scrofa (pig), 2759 nucleotides long. NCBI's taxonomy places the organism in Eukaryota, Metazoa, Chordata, Mammalia, Artiodactyla, Suidae. The record is from RefSeq and is a predicted model, not a curated record.
ACCCUGGCGAGGUAGGUAAGUUUUCCCAGGAUACACUAAACAAAUCUGCCAGGUUAUGGGCAGGAAGGAGGCUACUGCUAUAAGCUCACUUUAUUAUUUAUUCUUGGUGGGAACUUCCAGAAAGGCUGAUGAGGACCCUGCUUCCCAUUAGUCCAAACGAUUCGCCAUUCGCUUUUGAUUACCCACAAAUAUCGUAUUCUGCUGGAGCACUAAUCAUUCUGCUUGGGGGACACGUGUCCCGAGCAAAUCGAGUCAUAAACAGCUGUCAUUCCAAUGGCUAUUAAUGCCUAUUGUCUCCCAUUCUGGAGCCCAGCGCCUCCCUGAUGCAAAGAGAAUGGUGGAGGAGCGGGGGACAUCUGUUUCAAAGACAGUCUGCUGCCAUAUUGGAGAGAUGCACCUGGCUUCCACUUCCAAACCCGAGUAACCAGAGGCUUCUUGGCCUUUCUUUGUCACCAGCCCAUUUUCUAUUUUGUAUUCUAGGUUUUCAUCUCUAUGCAGCAUGGGGAAAAUGGAAUUGAGAGGGUGGCUGGGGGAGGGAGUUCUGAGUUGCAUGUAAACCGGGCCACCAGAAUCAAGGAUCUGUUACAAAUCAACAGCGCAGAAGCAGCUCAAUGUCAGGACCCAGACAACGCCCCCAAGCCCCAACCAUCCUGCGACUGAAAUAAACGUGAAGGGAGAAGACAGUCCUCCAGUUUGACAAAUGAUUUCAACGUGCCGAGUGGUGGACUUGUCAGUCUUGAGUGGCUCUCCCAUUAUAACUCUAUUCCCAUACGCCUGGCUUUAAUUCUGCACACAUGCAUUGACGGCAGCUUUUCAGAUUGAAAAGGAAAAGAGCAAAGGGACUUGCUUGCCCUCAUUCCACAUGGGCACCCGUGCUUUAGGACAGUUGUCUCUCAGCCAGGCUCCUGGGCUGCAAGAAAAGUGUGAGGCUGAUGAAUCAACGGGGUAGAUCAGCCAGGUGAUACAAGUCAGGUGCCCUGACAAGAUAGGGAAACAUUUUUUUCAUGGCUGCCCUCUGAUCACAAGGAAGGUGAGUGCCCCCUGGCCAGGGGUUUGAUUCGGACCAAAGCCAGUCCCUGAUUUGGACCUGGCACACUCUUUGAGUGAGUCACCCCCACCUCUCUAGCCUCAGUUUCCUCCUCUUUGAAAGGAAGGACUUAGAACAGAACAUUUCCUUAGGUCCCCUUUUAGAUCUAAAAGUCUGCAGUGGGAUGACUUGUUCAAAAUCCCCCAUACCUUCUCUCCUCUGCAAAGCUUCCCAACCAGCGUGCACUGAAAGGAAGGUAGGGAGGAUAGGAACUGAGCCUCCCACCCUUGGGAGAGUGGAAACACCUGAGGAGAUCAUGUCUUGUUUGUUACUGGUUCCUGAAGUUCCUGGGAUGCUCUGACAAAUAUUUCUAUUUUCUCUGUGCUCCAUGACAUGAACAAAAUUGGGAAGUUGCUGCUCUGCUUCUUGGUCCGCAGAUGAAUAAACCAAAACAAGGAAUGCUCAGGGGACUUGCCUAUCUCUGUACCGCUAGCGAGUAAUAAUGUGGUUUUGCGGAUUCCAAAAACUGUGCUCUCAACCAGGAAUUUCCUAUCCUGGCUGCCCAUUAAUACCAAUGAGGAGGUUUUUUUAAAAAUACCCGUGCCUGGCCCCAGAGAUUCUGAUUUUCUAGUCAGGGUGGGAUCCGAGCCUUGCUAUUUCCUUUAGUCUCCCUGGGGAUUCUGUGUGCAGCCAGCACACAGCAACAGAGACAGAUAACCUUGUUCCUGCUCUAACAGUUGUAACCAAGCGAUUAUAGUCUGCCCCUGUGAAGUCCAUGAGAAGGUACUGAUCACCUACCUUUUAUAAUAGAAGCAAUCUUCUAUUUUAAUUCACAUAUAAUAGAACCAAAAAAUGUGUAUGAAAUAAAAAGUAAAAUGUAAAAAGUAAAAUGUAAAAAAGUAAAAUGUCAAAUGUCCAAAAAGCAAUAGAAUUUCAUAUCAUAAGGUCAAGAGAGCUGGGCCUGGUCACAAGGUGGCUGGUUGCAGAAUCCUAGGGGACACCAGGCCGAGUGCUGGCGCAUUGGUGGGUGAAAUCAGGGUGUAAAAGACUCAAAGGCUGUUGCCCCCCCACACUAAUGGGUGAAGCCAGGUCCAGGGGCUGGUGCCAGACAACUGGAACGCAGAUGUGGUUCCCAGGGUCUGGCUGUGGGCCCCAGGGAUCCUAGAGCUGGUGUCACAUCGCUGGUGGGGGGCGGGGUGGGGGGGCAAUUACUAAUACAGCUGGGUAUGGGGUCUGAGGUUUUCCCAAACUUGCAUUGGCCUACUAGUGGGCAGGGCUGGUACAGGGGAUUCUGGGACUGGUGCCAGCCCAGUGGUGGGUGGAGCUGGGUGUUGGGUCCUCGGCUAGGCUGUUGUGGGUGCAGGAGGUCUUUAGGCAGCCUGUCUGCUGGUGACUGCGGCUGUUUCUCUGCCCAGUUAGUUUUUUGGCCUGAGGCGUCCCAACACCUGUGCCUUCAGGCUCUGCUGAGCGGAGGCCAGGUUUUUGCAUUAAUUUGGUCUAAUGAGCGAGAGGGAGGAGCCUACCAGGUGCCUCCAGCGUCCACGUGGAGAGCGAACUUUCAAAUAUGGCUGCCGCCAGUUCCCUCCGCGCGAGCGCCAGCUGCCUGCCUCUCUGGGGGACCCUCCAAGACCAGCAGUUGCUUCAGAUAUAAGAUUAGGCUGCGAUUUUUCUUGUUUCCUGAGUGAGACACAGCCAACCCACACAUCCCUAGGAGACCCUCCAAGACCCACAG